GCCCGAACCCGAUGUUUUUUAGGGCCGGGCCGGACUAGCCCGCGGGCUUUAGCCCUAAUUGACAUGCCUAAAUAUAAGCGAUGUUUAUCGUGUGAAAAAUUAUAUCGCUCAGACACUUUGCAAUCUCGAGAAGAUAUUUCCACCUUCUUUCUUUGAUGUUAUGGAGCAUUUGAUUGUCAACUUACCUACAAAAGCAGAGCUUGGUGGACUGGUGCAGUUUCGAUGGAUGUAUCCUUUCGAACGAUUCAUGUUUCACCUCAAGAAAAAGGCGAAUAACAAAGCAAGUGUUGAAGGUUCAAUUGUGGUGCUAGUGGUUUUUCUCAGCAAUAUACUUACCAGUGUUAUGUGCCAACAUUAUUUAUACAUGUUGGAGGUGGAAGUGGCAAAACAUAUUUUGAGUGGCUAAGUAAUGAUGACAACCACAUCGCUCAUACAUAUAUUUUGCUCAAUUGUGAAGAAUUGCGACACUUUGAAAGUUAUGCAGAUUAUUUGAUAAUGAUGCAAGAGAAAGGAAUGUUGGGCUUACGGAAGAUAUGUUAACGACUAUGAAAGAAAGAGACUAUGAAAACUGGUUAUACAAUUUCCAAACCUUUAACUGGGAUCAAGUACGUGGGGCAGAAGUGUAUCGUUUGUGGUAUCACACUAUUGGUGGCCGCCUGAGAGACAUGAUCUCUAAGGCCAAAGCUUAAGGUAAUAAACCUGAGUGGAUUAGUGAAGAUAUUUGGGAAGUAAUGUUGGAGUAUUGGGGCACAGACGCAGCUAAGAGGAAGAGCAAGACAACAUCAUAGAAUCGGAAGUCUCCUUGUGAUGGUUUUGGCCCACAUGCUCACACUUCUGGUGCCCGGUCUUAUGACCAACUCCGAGAGUUAAUUUCACCUCUCUUCAAGAGCAGGUGGCCAUAGUGGUGGAGUAUAUGAGACAAUAUAUGCCUGAAGGUGGAGCAAACCUGAAGGUGGAGCAAACACUUUCCCGUCGUCUCAUCCAACUCAUGCAACAGGUGCGUCGGUAACCAUACAACCUCCAAGCAACAACGGGGGAGAACCAAGCUGCCAAUAUUUCCAAAGAUGGAACUGAACAUGUGCAAAUGGAUGAUGAGAUCCAAUCCAAUAAUGCCACCAAUGGGCCUCAUGAACAAGAAGACAAUGAUGAUGAGGAGCUUGUAGGUGGUGCCCUCUUCUGAGAUGUAUGAACAUGUUGUAUCAGCUAUCUUUAACCCCUCUUUUUUGGUAAUAGGACUUGAAUGGUUUCUACGUACUUAAACUUAU
Molecule: long non-coding RNA, 1265 nt
Organism: Capsella rubella
Lineage: Eukaryota; Viridiplantae; Streptophyta; Magnoliopsida; Brassicales; Brassicaceae
Exons: 4
Source: RefSeq, a predicted model, not a curated record